Odocoileus virginianus texanus is the source of this 1966-nucleotide long non-coding RNA. RefSeq lists it as uncharacterized. The record is from RefSeq and is a predicted model, not a curated record. NCBI's taxonomy places the organism in Eukaryota, Metazoa, Chordata, Mammalia, Artiodactyla, Cervidae.
UAUUCCAACUAAAAAGAUGUUUGUGUAGAGAAAGGACUUCCCUGGUGGUUUGGCACUUGGGACUCUGCAUUUUCACUGCCAAGGGCGCAAGCUCAAUCCCUGGCUUGUGGAUUUACAUGCCUAUGGUUUUCUUAAGUAAACCUAUAUUUUGGCGACAGGAACUACAGUGUUGAGAAAAUGAUCCAGGUUUGGCAUCUGAAAACUGGGUUUGAGUUUGGCCUCACCUCUGAAUUAGCCAGUCUGAGUACUCUGGUGGUUUGGGGACGAUGACGGUCUCGAAACUCUUCAGUUUCAUCCUAUGUAAUAUAAGAAUUAAGACAGCUCCAUGCUGGGAAUGCUCUCUGUGCAGUUUACCUAAUGAUCUAACUUUUUUUUUUUUUUUCCAUGUGCGAAAUGGAGACAUUCACUUUCCUCACAGGACUAGAGCGCAGGAUGGGGUUUGAUACCUCGUGAGAGAUGGAGGGAGAAAGAAGUGAGGUGGUCUGACAACAGCAAGUGGCAGAGAAGAUGCCGGAACCCAGCUCCUUAACUCUGAUAGGUGCUCUUCUGCACUAUCCCUCAUGAAGGCAGGAGUUACAUGGACCGCGUACACCUGCUUGCCAGGAAUCCCCCUGCGUCUUUCUGUCCUCCCUGUGUACAUGGGAAUUUUCUGACUCCAAAGGAAUAUAUAGGCUUGUUGGACUCUCAACCAUCAGGUGCAGAGUGGUUGUUCCCAACUUCUUUCCUGCUGCCCCACUAUUCCAAUGAACAACUGUCUCCAUCAGCCGAGGGGCCCAAGGUACACCCACCCCACCCAGCCCAGAAGGUCAUGCGCAGAGUGGAGGAGAGGAGCGGGUGCAGGAUAAGAAAGCACGUCCUCAUAGCUCUGGUCCAUCUCCCAGCCGACACCCACCCUCACACCCCUUUCUUUGUUUGCUUCCUUGAAAGGAAAACAAACUGCUCUUUCCCCCUCAUCUCCCGGUAUCUUCACACUUCAGAAACUAAACAGUACUUUGGGCUCAAGUCUUACUUGCAUCCGUUUAUAUGAAACUUCUCCAGGCUUAUUGGCCAUGUGGAAAAAUGUCUCCAUGGUGGGGAAAAAAAAAUCACAAUACUGUAUUGAAAAAGGAGUGAUAACAGCUGUUCAGAUAUUGGUGGCAAAUAGUUUUUUAUACUCUUACUUGUGAAAUCUUUGGGGUUGGUCAGGGCCCUGCUACCACCUACUCCAGUUUCUCAUCUUUUGGAACAUGCUUUUUUGUAAAGCCCUGCCGAUUGUGCCAUUGUCAUGUCAAGGUCAUCGGCAGCCGUAACACACUCCUAACUGUAGGGGCAAAACACCAAGACAAUUACUAGAGGCCAGCUUGCUGUUCGGAUGGGGUCGUGGGCUGACACCACAGUCGAGGGUCAGGCCUAGAAGUUAAACUUGCCAGUUCAGUGAGCCGUAGGACUGACUUAGACCACCAAGCUCCCAGGACGCUGAGGGCAAGGAAGCAGAUACAUCACCCUACUCGUGAGGCUCCAGUGCUCAUACAUGCUGCCGAGGUCCCCCUUUUUUUAGUUACAAAAUGACGUUUAUUUUUAAAAGAGGGGUUUUAUGUAGUGAGCAGGGAAUCCCAGCAAAGGCAAUUAAGAGGGUCCUGCAAACUAAUUCACUUAGGCUGCAAAAUGCCUGGUAACUCCUUUUAGUCCUUGAAACAGCAUCUCUCUCUCCACAGUAGUCACGCUCUUUACCUUCUAAUUUUCCAACUCACUUAGAUAAAACUGCUUAAACAAUGAAAAUUAUUAGUAAUCUGAUUUUCUUCAAGAGUCUGUGGGGACCUUUAUCCUUUGUUUACCACACUGUUCUUAAGAUAGGUUACAAUAAAAUCAUUUGACAGAAAAACUGGAUGAAAAAAAUGUCUGGCUUUGAUUCAGGAAGCUGACAGAGUUGAGGUUUUGAGGACUUUCCUGGCGGUCCAGUGGUUGAGACUCUGUGCUUCCCAGGCAG